RNAcentral lists this ribosomal RNA (460 nucleotides) under uncultured ammonia-oxidizing beta proteobacterium. RNAcentral's name for it is "bacterial SSU rRNA". It matches the Rfam family "Bacterial small subunit ribosomal RNA", at positions 202 to 644 of the family's 1533-position model. Lineage: Bacteria; Pseudomonadati; Pseudomonadota; Betaproteobacteria. The record is from RNAcentral.
AAAGCAGGGGAUCGCAAGACCUUGCGCUUUUGGAGUGGCCGAUGCCUGAUUAGCUAGUUGGUGGGGUAAUGGCCUACCAAGGCGACGAUCAGUAGUUGGUCUGAGAGGACGACCAGCCACACUGGGACUGAGACACGGCCCAGACUCCUACGGGAGGCAGCAGUGGGGAAUUUUGGACAAUGGGCGAAAGCCUGAUCCAGCAAUGCCGCGUGAGUGAAGAAGGCCUUCGGGUUGUAAAGCUCUUUCAGUCGAGAAGAAAAGGUUGUGACUAAUAAUCACAACUCAUGACGGUAUCGACAGAAGAAGCACCGGCUAACUACGUGCCAGCAGCCGCGGUAAUACGUAGGGUGCGAGCGUUAAUCGGAAUUACUGGGCGUAAAGGGUGCGCAGGCGGCUUUGUAAGUCAGAUGUGAAAUCCCCGGGCUUAACCUGGGAAUUGCGUUUGAAACUACAAAGCUAG